GGGACACGCUUGGGGAAAGAGUUGCUGCAGCCAUGUAAUGCAGGGGCCAUCCACCGGUGCCAGGCCGAAUUAAAGGGACCAGGUGGUUUUUGAUAGAACUACGGAAUUGUCUUCGUGGAGACACCAGUGAGUAGCAACCUGGCGAGAGCGGCCUCCUCCGACCGUAGAAGAUGCCCUCUCUCCCGAGGGAUCCAGAGUUCCUCCUCUUCCUCUUUAAAGUGGUGGGGCUGGGGAUCGUCCUGCUUCAAAGUGGAGCACGCCCCCUGCUGGACGUCUGCAGGACACAAACUCAGACAUGUCAAAUAUCAUACAGUAUGCUAGGGGUGCGCGAUAAUUUUAUCUACUCGGCGCAUGUGCCCGAAUACGGUGCACCUUGCUGGGCCACACCAGGUGGCUCCCUCUGCUUUAUACUCUGGUUCUCCUGGUAGUAGUGCUGUGGUAGUACUCAUGUCAUGAUAGUUGAUUAGGACAAAUCAACAAAUCCUCAUUUGUUCCAGUCCUCCUUACCUCCAGGUGGUGUGGUGUGGUAUGGUUUGAUUGAUUUUGCCUGACAUACAUGCAUAUGCCCAAGACACCUAUGAAAAGGAGGGACUUAUGUGGAGGGGGCGGUGUAAGGAAGGCGGAAGUGAGAAGGGCUAGCCAUGCUAAUCUAAAUGCUAAAUGCUCAACUGCUCUGUUUUGCUGUCACAUUAUAAAUAAAAGCUUGCCUGAAGCAAGAGGAAAGUCUCUUUCUUUCCUGAAGAGCGAGGCUCUAUUUUCCCUCUGACACGUAUGACAGCAUCACACCUAAUCUUACUACUUUAUUCUCAUACAUUUAUGACUAUUCUCAUUAUUAUACUGUAUACUGCAAAAAGUAAGUAAUACAUUUAGAAGAGUAAAAGUAGUAAUACGAGAAUAAACUUGUAAAUUUACGAGAAAUAAAGUCAUAGUCGUAAAUGUACGACUUCUCAUACAUUUACAAACUUUUUUCUUGUAGAUUUAUUACUUUUUUUCUUGUAAAUUUACGACUUUGUUUUUGGAAAUGUCCGACUAUUGUUCUCGUAAAUGUAUGACUUUAUUGUCACAAAUUUACGACUUUAUUCAAGUAACAUUAUGGCUUUAUUCUCGCAAAUGUAUGACUUUCUCAUAAAUUUAUGACUUUUUCUUGUAAUAUUUGCAACUUCAUUGUCGCAAAUUUAUUACUUUAUUCUGGCGGUAGCAUGACUUUUUUCACAAAUUUACACUUUGCUCUCAGAAAUGUACGACUUCAUUCUGUAACAUUACAACAUUUUCUCGGAAAAUUUGUGACUUUGUUCUCAGAAAGUUAUUACUUCAUUCACGCACAUUUAUGACUUUACUCUCGCUAAUUGAUGACUAUUGUGGUAAUAUGACUUUAUUCUCAUGAAAUUUAUUCUGGCAAAUUUGUGACUUUUUCUUGUAAAUGUAAACAAGACUUUUUUUCCCCUUAAA
Molecule: long non-coding RNA, 1449 nt
Organism: Dunckerocampus dactyliophorus (ringed pipefish)
Lineage: Eukaryota; Metazoa; Chordata; Actinopteri; Syngnathiformes; Syngnathidae
Exons: 3
Source: RefSeq, a predicted model, not a curated record